Oncorhynchus gorbuscha (pink salmon) is the source of this 4819-nucleotide RNA transcript. It is a transcript of the gene named zinc finger protein 629-like, with no coding region annotated. The record is from RefSeq and is a predicted model, not a curated record. The transcript has 8 exons. NCBI's taxonomy places the organism in Eukaryota, Metazoa, Chordata, Actinopteri, Salmoniformes, Salmonidae.
UAUCGAGGAAGUAGCCGACAACCUUUUGUUUCCGGAACAAAAACAAACGAAAUAGAGAUGUGUUCGAAGCAUACGGUAUAUCUAUGGUGUGACGUCUCAGGACAUUAACUGAACACUGCAUUGCAAAUGAGCGAGUAGGACUAUAAUACAAGUGUUUAACAUAUAAAUAGUACCAAUCCAAGGAAGGCCAUGUCCAAUACCGUUGUCUUUCAUGCUCAGCUAGCCUCCAUCAUUGAGGUUUUGGCGAAUGCAGCCGUUGCCGAAAUCUGCAAACUUGUAGAUGAUGGCCAUGCUGCCUUACGUUUGGAAAUUUCCCAUAGCCAGAAAGAAAUUGAUAACCUGCGGAGGAAGCUGGUUUUGACAAAAUUCCAGAAUUCUCGACGGAGCGCAGAGAGAUUUGGAGCCCUGCGACGCACAGUUCACAGGCGAGUGGACGCCGAUCAUGUUGCCCGGGAGAGAGAGAGCUUCGUAGAAAAGGCAAAAAGCAGACUUGGAUAUUUGGAAAAUCGUUUUGCCUACAGUGAAGGGGGCAAAUGUAUGCAGGAUGUCACCAACUGGAGAGACGCAGGACGCACAGCUACAGACCAGGAUGGGGCCAUGCAGAUGGCAGAUAUGCAAGAGGCACCUCAUAUCAAAAUGGAAAAUCUAGACACCAGCAUAACCGAAGAGAUUGUCCAACCAGUCAGUGAGAGCAGUGAGAAGAUCAUUGAGGCAGAACCAGGUUCUUCAUCAUCUACUGAACCCACAGGCCUUCUGGACCAGCAGGGCAACAGACACAGAGCUCCAGACACCUCACUCAAUAUAGAACCUGAAAACCAGACAUUCCAGCAUCCAGCAUCACAAUACAGCAGAACAAGACAGGACCAUCAGGUUGCUGAGGGUGUGACCUGGGAAACUGACCAUCAACCCAUAGAAUACAGCCUGUCCCAAUGGACAGAGAACCAAGAGACUGACAACCCAACUGUGAAAGCUCCUCACAAUGCAGGGCCAGACUCCAAGAGGCUGUCUGAACAUCCAGAGAGGAGAGGAGUGGCUGGUAACUCUGGGGUCUGCAUGUCUGCUUCAGGCUCUCUGGACUGGCUGCCUGAUGUGGUGAUGGUGGACUCAGUUCCCAUUAAAGUGGAGGCAGAUAUGAGUUCAGAAUGGAGCAUAACUGGCCAAGAGUUGACAUCUGGAGAGGUCUGUUCAGACAGCAGGCAGCUUGUGGACAACAGAGGAAGAGGGGGAAUGGAGUCUGGACAGACAAAGUGUCCCCCUGACACUCAACAUGCAGAACAAGGGACACCUGUAGGAUCAAGGUCCAAGUUUCCAGAUAUCAAUGGACUGUCCAACCGAAACAGAUUUUCAUCCCCAAGGGUUACCCUCCACCAGGUUCCCCAAAGAGGGAAGCCAGCCCCCUUCCUGAAUUUCAACAGAGGCUCCACUUCUUCAUCGAAAGGCAUAGAAAAGCAGCCGCAACAGCUGAUGUCUCACUCCACCCAGAGGCAGCUCCGGUGCAGCCUCUGCGGAAAGCCCUUCCCUCAGCCGGCAUACCUAAGGAGGCACAUGCGGGUCCAUACGGGUGAGAAACCGUACGGCUGCAGCCACUGCACCAAGCGCUUCUCCCACAGCCACCAGCUGAAGAUGCAUGAGAGGGUGCACACCGGAGAGAAACCAUUUCAUUGCGUCUACUGCGGGAAGUGCUUCACCCAGUCCGGCCACAUGAAGAGGCAUCUCCUUAUCCACACUGGCGGCAGGCCACAGGACGUUGUGCUGCCCUGAGUGUUCCAAGGCCAAAUCUGAUGUGGAAGAGAGAGAUGGGGAGGGGGAAUAGAGUCUGGACAGACAGAGAAGUGUCCCCUGACACUCAAAAUGCAGAGCAAGGGAGAACUGUAGGAUCCAGGUCCAAGUCGCCCGAUUUCAACAGACUGUCCACCCGAGUGUUACUUUCCACCAGGUUCCCCAAAGAGGGAAGCAAGCCCCGUUCCCGAAUAUCAACAGUGGCUCUACUACUUCAUCGAAAUGCAUGGAAAAGCAUCCACAACAGCUAACGCCUUGCUUGGGCAAGAGGCAGCUCCAGUGCAACUUCAUACUACUCCACCAGGUGUAAUGAUGGUCAGGGCCAGGAGUUUUUCCUCACCACAUGACCAGAGCAGGGGAAAACUCCUGGCCCUAGUUGUAAGGGCUCCACACUACUGGGGGUUUCAUAUGAAAACUUGAAUCCAUGUGUUUUUAACAGUUUAAUUGGUUUCCCCAUUGAAUGCUUCCCUCUGUGUGUAGUGGUCGUGUUUUCAGUUCAACUGGCUUGAUGUUUGGUUCAGAGUGGACUGAUAAUGUAUAAGUUAUAACAAGUUAAGAUUUUGAACAUCCUUAUGAAAUUGUAUCGUUUCCGGGGAUGUACCAAAGGACAGCAAUUAACCAUUUAUUUCCAUUUGCCUUUCGACAAGAUAUAGUAGAUUUACAAUCAGAUUGAUAUGCUGUAAAUAUGUGGAUUAAAGUCAUAUCUAGGCUGUCAUACUGUUGUAAAUCGUUUGUUGUUUAUUUCUAUUAGAAAUACCCCAAAUAGUGAAAUGAUUUAUUUAAAAAAAUAAUGAAAUAUUGUUUUCACCAGAGAACAUGUUGUUCAUUACGUAGGUACAACCGCACUCCUGUACGGUAGGUGGCGGUGUUCAACUUUAAAUUCUACAGUCCACGUAUGAUUACAUUACUGUGACGUGAGGAAAUCAAAUAAAACAUCUCACCAGCUAGCUACAAACAAAGCUAGCUGCAAAUUGACGUUAAGUUUCUGUUAUGAUUAUUUGUCUUAAUAGAUUGGUAGAUAACUGUAGAUAAUCAUAAUAUAUAAAACGCAAAUACUGUUACAUUGAAAAGGGGCAAAAAGCGUCGGGGGACAAUGUCGGGUUCCGUGGUCGAGUUCCAGGCGCAGAUAGCCUCAAUCAUGGAGGUGCUAGCCAACGCGGCUGUUGCCGAAAUCUGCAAAGUUGUUGACGAUGGCUAUGCUGUUGUGCACCUGAAAAUGUCCCAAAGCCACAAGGAAAACGAAUUUCUCCGGAGGAAAAUGAAAUUGAUGGAACUUCAGAUCACCAGGUUUCGGGCGGAGAGAACAAAGUUUUCAGAGGGGUCCGUCCACAAUCGCUUCCAUGGAAUACGCCUCCUAAACAGACACAACCAUCGAGAGAUUACAACAGGACCUACUUGGCAAAGCAGAAACAGACUUUCCAACAGGAGUUUUGGGAACAGCAGCAUUCAAAGAGACAGACAGCCCAUAGACGUGGACCAAGACGAUGUCUCUCCAUCAAAGCAUAUGGAUGCUACAAGUGAUGAGCAGUCAGGAGAGACAGAGGAAGGGGAACCAGACCUGCUGAUCAUCAAGGAUGAGGGGGAAGCAGAUGACCAGGACUCUAGGAUCAGCCACCCAGCUAGAACAGUGGAGGGCAGCAGAGAACUAACCACCCAACCGACUCCAGACCCUGCCUUCCAUCCCAGAGGCAACAACAUCAACACAGCUAUGGAGCAGACAGAGGAAGGGGAACCAGACCUGCUGAUCAUCAAGGUGGAGGGAGAAGCAGAUUACCAGGACUCUAGGAUCAGCCACCCAGCUAGAACAGUGGAGGGCAGCAGAGAACUAACCACCCAACCGGCUGCAGCCACCACAGAGGACCCCGCUUUCCAGCUCAGUGGCCCCAGAGGCAACAACAACAACAUCGCUAUGGAGGUCAGUGGAUCUGACGUCGUCCUUGGCUUUCCCCCCAAGUCAUUCCAUUCUUCAUCAGAACAUGUGAUAGUGAUUGACUCUGUAUCCAGUGGGCAGCAGGUAGAUAGAGAUUUUGAGUGGGGUCAGGUGGGUACAGUUACUACACCACAGGACAAUGGGACUGGAAAUAAGCAGGGAGUGGGAGUGUUUAACAGAAACGCACCAUCGAUUCACCCUGUACACCACAAAUCAAUGAGAGACAACACUAUGCAGUUGGUUUCACCCGGAUUCCGUCCCACAGAGAUAAAUACAAGCACCCGUCUUGACGCGGGAAAUACAGGUGAGGCCAAUAAAGCUAGUUUGCGCUCAUUGGCAAGCCUCCAUAGACACUCUGAAAUACCAGGAAGAGGAGCUCAACAACCAGCUCAUACCUCACUUCCUGUCGGCCAUUUUAGACCAAGCGCCACAACUUCCUCUCACUCAAGUAAUCUUGCUAAUCACAUUAGACCUGGCACCAUAGAACGACCGUACGGUUGCCCGAGCUGCCAUAAGAAGUUUGUUCACGAGAGUGACUUGCGGCAGCACGUCGUCAUCCACACCAGAAAGCGGGUGUUCGCCUGCACCUUGUGCGAGAAGAGCUUUGUGUCCCCCAGCAAGCUCCAAGUGCACCAGAACGUCCACACUGGGGAGAAGCCCUUCAGUUGUGCACAGUGCGGGCGCAGGUUCUCCCAAUCCAGCAAUCUAAAUAGACAUCAGAAGCUUCAUCAUUGAAAACUGACACAGAAGCAAGAGAUUCCUAUUGUUGGGUUCUGAGAAUAUGAAAUAUACUUAUUCAUGUCACAGAGGGGGAGAGGGUAAUGUAUAACAGUUACAUGAUGUCAGGAUAUGUCACAGAGGGGGAGAGGCUAAUGUAUAACAGUUACAUUAUGUCAGGAUAUGUCACAGAGGGGGAGAGGGUAAUGUAUAACAGUUACAUGAUGUCAGGAUAUGUCACAAAGGGGGAGAGGCUAAUGUAUAACAGUUACAUUAUGUCAGGAUAUGUCACAGAGGGGGAGAGGGUAAUGUAUAACAGUUACAUUAUGUCAGGAUAUGUCACAGAGGGGGAGAGGGUAAUGUAUAACAGUUACAUUAUGUCAGGAUAUGUCA